GACGAACGCUGGCGGCGUGCCUAAUACAUGCCAGUCGAGCGCUGAAGCUUGGUACUUGUACCAACUGGAUUAGCAGCGAACGGGUGAGUAACGCGUGGGGAAUCUGCCUUUGAGCGGGGGACAACAUCUGGAAACGAAUGCUAAUACCGCAUAAAAACUUUAAACACAAGUUUCAAGUUUGAAAGAUGCAAUUGCAUCACUCAAAGAUGAUCCCGCGUUGUAUUAGCUAGUUGGUGAGGUAAAGGCCCACCAAGGGGAGGAUACAUAGCCGACCUGAGAGGUGGUUCGGCACAUUGGGAAUGGGACACGGGCCAAGCUCCUAAGGGGAGGAGCAAGUGGGGAACUUCGGCAAUGGGCGGAAGGCUUGCCGAAGAACGACGGGGGGGUGGAGGAGGUUUUCGGGUCGGAAAACUCUGUUGGUAGGGAAAGACGUUGGGGAGAGUGAAAAGCUCAUCAAGUGACGGUACCUAACCAGAAAGCAACGGCUAACUACGUG
This 496-nucleotide ribosomal RNA is filed under the name uncultured bacterium. RNAcentral's name for it is "partial 16S ribosomal RNA". It matches the Rfam family "Bacterial small subunit ribosomal RNA", at positions 28 to 507 of the family's 1533-position model. The record is from RNAcentral.